Molecule: ribosomal RNA, 253 nt
Filed under: uncultured bacterium
Lineage: Bacteria
Description: partial 16S ribosomal RNA
Rfam family: Bacterial small subunit ribosomal RNA
Source: RNAcentral
UACGUAGGGGGCAAGCGUUGUCCGGAUUUAUUGGGCGUAAAGAGCGUGUAGGCGGCCAGGUAGGUCCGUUGUGAAAACUCGAGGCUCAACCUCGAGACGCCGAUGGAAACCAUCUGGCUAGAGUCCGGAAGAGGAGAGUGGAAUUCCCGGUGUAGCGGUGAAAUGCGCAGAUAUCGGGAAGAACAUCCGUGGCUAAGGCGGCUCUCUAGUACGGAACUGACGCUGAGACGCGAAAGCGUGGGGAGCGAACAGG